This 452-nucleotide ribosomal RNA is filed under the name uncultured Chitinophagaceae bacterium. RNAcentral describes it as "bacterial SSU rRNA". It matches the Rfam family "Bacterial small subunit ribosomal RNA", at positions 342 to 791 of the family's 1533-position model. Lineage: Bacteria; Pseudomonadati; Bacteroidota; Chitinophagia; Chitinophagales; Chitinophagaceae. The record is from RNAcentral.
CGGGGGGCAGCAGUGAGGAAUAUUGGUCAAUGGACGCAAGUCUGAACCAGCCAUGCCGCGUGAAGGAUGAAGGCCUUCUGGGUUGUAAACUUCUUUUAUGGGGGAAGAAAAUUACGGUUUCUACUGUAACCGACGGUACCCUAGGAAUAAGCACCGGCUAACUCCGUGCCAGCAGCCGCGGUAAUACGGAGGGUGCAAGCGUUAUCCGGAUUUACUGGGUUUAAAGGGUGUGUAGGCGGGUCUUUAAGUCAGUGGUGAAAUCUCCGAGCUCAACUUGGAAACUGCCAUUGAUACUAUUGAUCUUGAAUUCUGUUGAGGUGGGCGGAAUAAGUCAUGUAGCGGUGAAAUGCAUAGAUAUGACUUAGAACCCCGAUUGCGAAGGCAGCUCACUAAGCAGACAUUGACGCUGAGGCACGAAAGCGUGGGGAUCAAACAGGAUUAGAUACCCGAGU